GUCCGCAUAGUGUAGUGGUUUUGCAUGUUUCCUUUACAUUGUGUUGAAUAAGCAUAUUGUUCGGAAAAGGUCCCAGGUUCGAGCCCUGGUGUGGACA
Non-coding RNA from Conoideocrella luteorostrata, 97 nucleotides. The record is from the annotation of a GenBank genome assembly. Lineage: Eukaryota; Fungi; Ascomycota; Sordariomycetes; Hypocreales; Clavicipitaceae.